CCUACGGGAGGCAGCAGUGGGGAAUAUUGCACAAUGGGGGAAACCCUGAUGCAGCGACGCCGCGUGAGUGAAGAAGUAAUUCGUUAUGUAAAGCUCUAUCAGCAGGGGAGAAAAUGACGGUACCUGAGUAAGAAGCACCGGCUAAGUACGUGCCAGCAGCCGCGGGAAUACGCAGGGGGCAAGCGUUAUCCGGAUUUACUGGGUGUAAAGGGAGUGUAGACGGCAGUGCAAGUCUGGAGGGAAAGGCGGGGGCUCGACCCCCGGACUGCUCUGGAAACUGUACGGCUGGAGUGCAGGAGAGGUAAGUGGAAUUCCUGGUGUAGCGGUGAAAUGCGUAGAUAUUAGGAGGAACACCAGUGGCGAAGGCGGCUUGCUGGACUGUAACUGACGUUGAGGCUCGAAAGCGUGGGGAGCAAACAGGAUUAGAUACCCGGGUAGUC
This 440-nucleotide ribosomal RNA is filed under the name uncultured bacterium. RNAcentral's name for it is "partial 16S ribosomal RNA". It matches the Rfam family "Bacterial small subunit ribosomal RNA", at positions 338 to 795 of the family's 1533-position model. The record is from RNAcentral.